This 222-nucleotide ribosomal RNA is filed under the name uncultured bacterium. Its description in RNAcentral is "partial 16S ribosomal RNA". It matches the Rfam family "Bacterial small subunit ribosomal RNA", at positions 29 to 239 of the family's 1533-position model. The record is from RNAcentral.
AACGAACGCUGGCGGCGCGCCUAAUACAUGCAAGUCGAACGAGAAGGUGUAGCAAUACACUUGUACAGUGGCGAACGGGUGAGGAAUGCAUGGGCAACCGUACCCUCGAGUGGGGAAUAACCAGCCGAAAGGUUGGCUAAUACCGCGUACGCUUCCGGGUCUCCGGAUCCGGAAGGAAAGUCACACCGUGGGUGUGACGGCUCAAGGAUGGGCUCAUGUCCU